This is a long non-coding RNA of Oryza sativa Japonica Group (Japanese rice), 907 nucleotides long. RefSeq lists it as uncharacterized. The record is from RefSeq and is a predicted model, not a curated record. Lineage: Eukaryota; Viridiplantae; Streptophyta; Magnoliopsida; Poales; Poaceae.
GGCCACAUAUCUGCGCUGCGGUCGCGUUUGUCUUCCUGUCCCGAAUGGCCACAUGAGGGCGAAGGCCAGGCGGCGGAGAAUCUGAACAUAUAUUCUUCUCCAAUCUAUCUAGCUCACUCAUCACUACCUUCUCCUCCACUACUCAUCCAUCGGAGCCGAUUUGAGAGGGAAUGCCUUGUGGUAGCGACGGCUGAAAGACUGGUUGGCUAGAUCCACCAUAGGGCAUCCAAGUCAGUGCCUUGGUAGAUCCACCGCAGGAUGUCUAGAUCAGGAGCAGUGUUAGCCAUCGGUUAGUUGGCUCUGGUAUGGGAGGUGGUAUUUGUAGGAAAUGGGGCAGUGGGGAUGGCAGGUGUUGGGGCAGUGCGGAUAGCAGGUGCAGCAACAUCAAGCAUGGCUGAGAGCGAAGGAUAUCAACGGUAGAGGAAGCAAGCAGGGAUCGACUCAUAUACAUGUACUGAAGGUGCAAUGUUAGUUUCUUCUGUUGAAAAUAUGAUGACAAAACUGUAUAGAUGCAUAUGUUAUUUCCUAGCUGCAAGAUCAUGAUUAGAUGAUGUCAUGAUUGUGUUCUUUUGUGGGUGCGUGAUAUACCUUCUUAUGCCAAAGAUAAUUCGCAAGGUGCCGCAGACUUCUUCUGCUCCGUCCGCCGGAAUCGACUUCUUCUGCUCCGUCGUUGGAAUCGACUUCUUCCGGAAUCGACUAAUGUCGCAUGCUGGCGGGGUGUAUAUAUAUGCAUGCAAGCCUUACGAAUAUUGUCUCAUGUAUAUGGAACUAAUCCUUGUUGCAAUUAAUAAUCUUUCCUAGUGAUCUAAAUUUUGCUUUUUGAGAUUUGGAAUGUUUUGCUUUGAGAGAUUUGGAAUAUUGCCUCUCACACACAAAUAUGGAACUAAUCUAUGUUCGUUCACGACAA